This 679-nucleotide long non-coding RNA is filed under the name Homo sapiens (human). RNAcentral's name for it is "testis expressed 41". The record is from RNAcentral. Lineage: Eukaryota; Metazoa; Chordata; Mammalia; Primates; Hominidae.
CCCUCCCCCAGCCUCGCUGCAGCCUUGCAGUUUGAUCACAGACUGCUGUGCUAGCAAUUAGUGAGACUCCGUGGGCGUAGGACCCUCUGAGCCAGAGACAACACCAACAUUUUUGUAAUGGCCUGCAAGGCCUUCCGAGAUCUACCUCCUGCAACUCAGCUUCUCCUGUGCUCUCCUUCUGGACUCACUCUGCCUCAGCAACACUGGUCCCUGUUGCCCCACCAAUAUGCCAGCUGCACUGAUGAGGAAACUGAAACAGAAAAUCCAGAGUAAAUUCCACCAGGCCACACAGCAAGGUCUGAUAGAGCCAGGAGAGACUUUAUGAAAUCCAGACUCUCACACUAAUGCUCUAUCAGCUAGACCUCCAUGUGAGUCUCCCCAAUGUAGGUAGGAAGUGCUUUCCCUAAAAUGCUCAUAAAGCAAAUCAGAGCAAUGCUGCAUUCCAUGUGAUUUCUAAUUUGAAAUGCAAACAAUUGCCAAUUUGUUUGACUUGUAUUUAUAAUUAUUUCCUUGUGAAUUACUCAUCACUAAAUGCUUUAUAAAUAUUUUCUCUUUUUUUCCUCAAUGUCUAUGGAAUGAUCACAGCAUAGAAAAUGUUGGCUUUCAAGGAUUUAUUAAUAUCUCCUUUUGAAAUAACAUGUAUUUGUAAGACAGAAUAAAAUCACUUUAAAGAAACAAA